GACGAGGGGUCCUAGUGUUGUUUGGAAUCAUUGGGCGUAAAGCGUAUGUAGGCGGGCUUUUAAGUCGGGUGUGAAAUCCCACGGCUCAACCGUGGAAUUGCAUUCGAAACUGGAAGUCUUGAGUGUGGGAGAGAUUGGUAGAAUACCUAGUGUAGUGGUGAAAUACGUAGAUAUUAGGUGGAAUACCGGUGGCGAAGGCGGCCAAUUGGCCCAAUACUGACGCUGAGAUAUGAAAGCGUGGGGAUCAAACAGG
This 253-nucleotide ribosomal RNA is filed under the name uncultured bacterium. RNAcentral describes it as "partial 16S ribosomal RNA". It matches the Rfam family "Bacterial small subunit ribosomal RNA", at positions 524 to 776 of the family's 1533-position model. The record is from RNAcentral.